RNAcentral lists this ribosomal RNA (383 nucleotides) under uncultured bacterium. Its description in RNAcentral is "bacterial SSU rRNA". It matches the Rfam family "Bacterial small subunit ribosomal RNA", at positions 28 to 414 of the family's 1533-position model. The record is from RNAcentral.
GAUAAACGCUGGCGGCGUGCAUGAGACAUGCAAGUCGAACGGACGAUCAGGGCUUGCUCUGAUCGUUAGUGGCGGACGGCUGAGUAACGCGUAGGUGACCUGCCCCGAAGUGGGGGAUAACUGCCCGAAAGGGUGGCUAAUACCGCAUGUGGUGGUUCGUUCGAUCGACCCAUCAAAGCAGCAAUGCGCUUCGGGAGGGGCCUGCGUCCGAUUAGCUUGUUGGGGGGUAACGGCUCACCAAGGCGACGAUCGGUAGGUGGUCUGAGAGGACGAUCACCCAGACUGGGACUGAGACACGGCCAGACUCCUACGGGAGGCAGCAGUCGGGAAUUUUGCGCAAUGGGCGAAAGCCUGACGCAGCAACGCCGCGUGAGGGAUGAAGG